Molecule: ribosomal RNA, 274 nt
Filed under: uncultured bacterium
Lineage: Bacteria
Description: partial 16S ribosomal RNA
Rfam family: Bacterial small subunit ribosomal RNA
Source: RNAcentral
AUACGGAGGGUGCAAGCGUUAUCCGGAAUCAUUGGGUUUAAAGGGUCCGUAGGCGGAUUAUUAAGUCAGAGGUGAAAUCCCACAGCUUAACUGUGGAACUGCCUUUGAUACUGGUAGUCUUGAGUUAUAUGGAAGUAGAUAGAAUGUGUAGUGUAGCGGUGAAAUGCAUAGAUAUUACACAGAAUACCGAUUGCGAAGGCAGUCUACUACGUAUAUACUGACGCUAAUGGACGAAAGCGUGGGGAGCGAACAGGAUUAGAUACCCUAGUAGUCC